UACAGAGGUCCCAAGCGUUGUUCGGAUUCACUGGGCGUAAAGGGUGCGUAGGCGGUCGGGUAAGUCUGGUGUGAAAUCUCACAGCUUAACUGUGAAACUGCAUUGGAUACUAUCCGGCUCGAGGAAUGGAGGGGAGACUGGAAUUCCUGGUGUAGCGGUGGAAUGCGCAGAUAUCAGGAGGAACACCGGUGGCGAAGGCGGGUCUCUGGGCCGUUACUGACGCUGAGGAGCGAAAGCGUGGGGAGCGAACAGG
RNAcentral lists this ribosomal RNA (253 nucleotides) under uncultured bacterium. Its description in RNAcentral is "partial 16S ribosomal RNA". It matches the Rfam family "Bacterial small subunit ribosomal RNA", at positions 524 to 776 of the family's 1533-position model. The record is from RNAcentral.